AGCAGCCGCGGUAAUUCCAGCUCCAAUAGCGUAUAUUAAAGUUGUUGCAGUUAAAAAGCUCGUAGUUGAAUUUCGGAAUCGACGGAUUGGUCGCGCCUUCGGUGUGUACUGGUCUUGCCGGUUUCUCCCUUCUGACGAACCACGAUGUCAUUAAUUUGGUGUCGCGGGGAAUCAGGACUGUUACUUUGAAAAAAUUAGAGUGUUUAAAGCAGGCAUUAGCUUGAAUACAUUAGCAUGGAAUAAUGAAAUAGGACGUUUGAUCUUAUUUUGUUGGUUUCUAGGAUCGACGUAAUGAUUAAUAGGGAUAGUUGGGGGCAUUAGUAUUCAAUUGUCAGAGGUGAAAUUCUUGGAUUUAUUGAAGACUAACUACUGCGAAAGCAUUUGCCAAGGAUGUUUUCAUUAAUCAAGAACGAAAGUUAGGGGAUCGAAGACGAUCAGAUACCGUCGUAGUCUUAACCAUAAACUAUGCCGACUAGGGAUCGGAUGAUGUUAAUUUUUAAUGACUCAUUCGGCGCCUUAC
This 520-nucleotide ribosomal RNA is filed under the name uncultured Glomus. RNAcentral's name for it is "SSU rRNA". It matches the Rfam family "Eukaryotic small subunit ribosomal RNA", at positions 569 to 1091 of the family's 1831-position model. Lineage: Eukaryota; Fungi; Glomeromycota; Glomeromycetes; Glomerales; Glomeraceae. The record is from RNAcentral.